RNAcentral lists this ribosomal RNA (467 nucleotides) under uncultured bacterium. RNAcentral describes it as "partial 16S ribosomal RNA". It matches the Rfam family "Bacterial small subunit ribosomal RNA", at positions 28 to 507 of the family's 1533-position model. The record is from RNAcentral.
GACGAACGCUGGCGGCGUGCUUAACACAUGCAAGUCGAACGGAAAGACCCUGCUUUUGUGGGGUGCUCGAGUGGCGAACGGGUGAGUAACACGUGAGUAACCUGCCCUUGACUUUGGGAUAACUUCAGGAAACUGGGGCUAAUACCGGAUAGGAGCUCCUGCUGCAUGGUGGGGGUUGGAAAGUUUCGGCGGUUGGGGAUGGACUCGCGGCUUAUCAGCUUGUUGGUGGGGUAGUGGCUUACCAAGGCUUUGACGGGUAGCCGGCCUGGGAGGGUGACCGGCCAAGUUGGAAACGGAUACAGGCCCAAGCCGUGAGGGAGGGUGGCAGGUGGGAGGGAUGCUGAAUGGGCGAAGGCCUGUGGCGGAAACCGGCCGUGCGGGUUGAGGGCUUUCGGGUUGAAAGCCGCUUGCGCCGGUGGCGAAGGGGAGUGGAGGGAAAGGGUGAAAGAAGCCCCGGCAAACUCGUG